AACGAACGCUGGCGGCAUGCCUAACACAAGCAAGUCGAACGGAGGCUUCGGCCUUAGUGGCGCACGGGUGCGUAACGCGUGGGAAUCUGCCCUUAGGUUCGGAAUAACAGCUGGAAACGGCUGCUAAUACCGGAUGAUAUCGCGAGAUCAAAGAUAUAUCGCCUGAGGAUGGGCCAGCGUUGGAUUAGUCAGUUGGUGGGGUAAAGGCCUACCAAGCAGACGAUCCAUAGCUGGUCGGAGAGGAUGAUCAGCCACACUGGGACUGAGACACGGCCCAGACUCCUACGGGAGGCAGCAGUGGGGAAUAUUGGACAAUGGGCGCAAGCCUGAUCCAGCAAUGCCGCGUGAGUGAUGAAGGCCCUAGGGUUGUAAAGCUCUUUUACCCGGGAAGAUAAUGACUGUACCGGGAGAAUAAGCCCCGGCUAACUCCGUGCCAGCCGCCGCAGUAA
Molecule: ribosomal RNA, 449 nt
Filed under: uncultured bacterium
Lineage: Bacteria
Description: partial 16S ribosomal RNA
Rfam family: Bacterial small subunit ribosomal RNA
Source: RNAcentral